This 2463-nucleotide long non-coding RNA is filed under the name Scleropages formosus (Asian bonytongue). Its description in RNAcentral is "lncRNA (ENSSFOG00015001774.2)". The record is from RNAcentral. Lineage: Eukaryota; Metazoa; Chordata; Actinopteri; Osteoglossiformes; Osteoglossidae.
AAGACUUGUCAGACAAGACCGAUCGCCUAUUCAAGCUCGAAUGUUUAUUCCACCCGCUUUUGGAGAGAAAAACCAGGUCCGGCAGAAGGGAAAGGCGGUGGCCGUACUGCUGAGGACAGAGAAGAAGCUGGUGCAGGCUUGUUGGAAGUGCUAUUCAGGAAGAUACGGCAACUCUGAGGAAAACAGAUUGUGAUUUGUCUCUCCUGUCAUAGCAGCGCAAAGGAUAGCAAUGAAAAGUGGCUGAAGCGAACCGAGCAGGUUAGCUGUUAUCCACGUCACACGGGGGCAUUUUCUGCAAGACACCCGGCCGGCCGGCGCCAUGGAGCAGGAAGGCACAGUCGACUUCAAAUCCUUGCAGGCAAAGUUUCAGCAGGAAGGUACCUUGAGACAAAUAAUGAGUAAACCUGCCAUUCCAGAGAAGCCAAAAGUUGUUCCUCCUUCUGGGUCUCGCAAUUCUCUCCUGAACUCCAUCAACAUUGCAGUUGAGAACAAGAUGCCUGUCAUACCCAGGGUGGUCUUCAAAGAAGACAAGAAAGAGUUCAACAACAAGCAAACGCAGUCCACCCCAGGGCCCUUCAAAGUCAAAAAUGCUGUUAAAGAGCCCACCUCGAACACAGAAGUGGCAGACAACAUCCAGAAGAAAGAGGGAGACAUCGUGAAGCAGGCCUUCAAGGAUAAAAAGCCAUCUAUUGUGCCCCCAGUGUCUGUGUUGGAGGAGAAUUCCAACCCAAAACUUGACCCAGUGUCUCCAGUUCACAGUCCCACUCCUGAAAAGGCAGUCCUGCCUUCAAAACCAACCAAAACCUUAAGUAUAGGAAAAGAAUUUUCUCAAAAAACUGAGGGUUCUCUGAAACUGAGCUCAACUUCAGAACCACAAGCUACAACACCGGCACAGAUUAGUGUGGAAGACCCAAAGCCCGACGGUGGAAACUUUCUGUCUGAGAUAAGGCAACCCACAGAACCGCAGUCUCCCACUUCUUAUAGUUCAGCUCAAAGCCCUCUUCCUAAGAAAGCAGCACAGCCUGCAAAUUUCACCAGAAUUGAAAGUCCAAUAAAGGACAUUUCUCAGAUCACUGAGGGUUCUACUAAACCUAUCUCAGCUUCAGUACCAACGGCUAGAACACAGGCACAGAUUGGUGCAGAAGGCCCAAAGUUUGAGAAUGGAAACUUCUAUGAGAUAAGUCCACCUUCAGAACUACAAUCAUCCAGUUUUUACAGUUCCGUCAAGCCCACAGAAGGAAAGCCUUUAAGUGUUUCUUCAGUGGUUAAGACUUCUCCUUGUGAUCGUCGUGUUCUGAAGGCCUUGGAAAAAGCUAAGCAGAAAGCCUCUGUCAAAAAUGUACCCCUUAAUGAGGGUCUGUCAAACUUAGAAAACAUUACUAAACUGCACCCUGAGAUCCCUCCUGUCGACUACGAACACUCUCUUGCAGGGGGCAGCUCCAAACAACUGUCAAACCUCCCUUUGAUCUCUGACAUGUCUGUUCCACCAGCUAUUGAGGUUAAUGGCCCCUCUCAAAAACUCAAAGUUACAGCUCUUAAAAACCCGACUCUUGAUGACCCACUUGAUACAACAGGACUGAAAGCUCCAGAGGGAUUUGACACCCCAGACUUUGAGACUUCAGAAUUCCCAGACUUUGACACAUCUAAAUUUGAAGCUGCAGAGUGUCAGGGUGUAUUUGUUCCACAUCAUGAAAGUGUGCAGCAUGGGGCUGUGGAACACUGGACCGUCAACCAUAGGGAUCUGAAAUAUCCAGAAGCUCCACAUCAUCCAAAUGGUGGAGUUCUGCAAGAGGAGGUUUCUGUGAGUGAGACACCUGAAGCUGAAGCUGCCAGCACUGCAAUCCUGCACUCAGUAACCAAUACACAGUCAAUACCCCGUGCACUGCAUGAGCAGAGCGGUUAUGAGCAUUCUGUCGCUCACGAAAGCACUGACAAAGGCAGCAAGUCCCACAAAGGUCAGACCACACGGAAACGCAAAGUCUCCAUCAAAAAUCCCUAUGCUGAUAGUAAGGCAGUGAAUGAAAACUCUUCAAAAGGCUCAUGGCUCCGUGGUUCAAAGCAUGACAAGAGUGAGCGGAAGGGAAGCCCAGAAGGACCUUCUGACAAAGAGCUGAAGAAGAAAGAAAAACAACGUCUGGAGAAAGAGAAGAAGGAACAGAAGGAACGGGAGAAGAAGGAAAACGAAAUGAAAAAGAAGUUUAAAGUAAAGCUCUGACAUGAGAUUUAAUUAUGGAAAGUCAUGAGCUGUGGUGUAAUGUAUUGGUUGUUGUCGUUGUUGCUGCCUUCGAAGAGAAGGAAGUGUUCUCAUUGGCUUACCAAUAGGCGGUGGUGGACUCUGUGGCCAAGAAAACCUGUAGGAAUACAUUCCUCCUCCACAACCAGUGUUAAGCAGUUCACCAUGAAAGCUCAUACUAACACUGAUCAAAUAUUAAAUAAAUGCCUCAUUCUGAAAAAAAAGCUCCA